Suricata suricatta (meerkat) is the source of this 2254-nucleotide long non-coding RNA. RefSeq lists it as uncharacterized. The transcript has 3 exons. The record is from RefSeq and is a predicted model, not a curated record. Lineage: Eukaryota; Metazoa; Chordata; Mammalia; Carnivora; Herpestidae.
AUGACCUGAGCCGAAGUCAGACACUGAACCGACUGAGCCCCCCAGGUUACCCUGAAUAUCCUUCCUAGUUGUAUCAUUUUUCUUCAAAAUCUUCGGCCAGUUUUCCAUUCUACUCCAUGAUCUGACUGGAGCUGCUGUCAGAUGACAUGGAUGAACUCACUUGUCACGUAAAAUGACCCCUGACCCCUCCAGGAAGAUUCCGUGCCUGGCUGGCCCCACCUAUGCCAACGCGCCCAGCACCACCCGGCCAGGUGCAGCAGGCCCGCAGGAAGUGUCAGAGAAACGUCGAUCAGAAGUAAAUGCGAAGCCAGUGGCCCAUGAAGGUGAUGACGGCCCCUGAAGGCCGGUGAGCAAGAGUGAGAGAGGGUAAAAAUAAUCAUUCCGGAGAAUCUGUCUGGCCAGGCAGGAAGAAAGACCAGCGGGAAGCAGCCGCAGCUGGGAGACCACUGCAGAAGCUAUGAAAUAUUCAGGACAUGGGUGCCGAGAUGCUGGAUCAGCAGACAGACGGCGAAGGCAGACGCCACAGUGACUACGAGGGCCACACCCAUGGAUGAAGGCCACACUGAUUCAUUCUCUCUCUAGUGACUCAGGUGUGGUGGCAAUUUUCCGCCCUCAAACUCAGACACACACACCACUAACAUCAGGCUUAAGAAGGUAAUUUGCCAAGACACGCAAGGAAAUAAAGGAAAGGAACAUGUUUCUGAAUGGGCACGAGGCCACCACAGCGGCAGCUCCACCUCCAGGACCCGUGGGAUCCUCGACAUGACGGCUCGUGUCCCCCACGCGUCAUCUACCCAGCUGUGAACUAGAAGACAGCUUCGUGCCGAGGUGGCAGGUGCAGGCGGCUGGCGCUCCGGUGCCCGGGCUCCGAGGGCUUCCUGGCGGGCUCGGGACACCUGCGAGCUGGCAGACACGGCCUCCGCUGUGGGAGGAGCACCCCCCGGAGACGCCCCGGAGCCAGGCAUCUCCGGACGAGUAGGGUGGACGGCAGGUGGACUGGCCCCGGGGGCCUGCUUGAGCCCUGCUUUGGUCCUCAAUCCCUUGAAGGAACAGGCAUUUCCCAGGAACCUCCUCUGGGGCAGAUGCCUCCACCCCAUGGAGACGCUCCGCUGGCUUGGAGGCCGGCCAGCCGCGCCCUUGACCGCACGCCGCCGGUUCUCGUUUCUCGGGGCGGCCUUGCCCACGAAGAGUUAGGGGUUUUUCUGUUUCUAGGUCAUGGGAGCGCGUCUCAGUGCUGCAGCACUCUGGCCUGUCUCCUUCGGUGCUGGGAUCCUAGUGCAGGGCCGGCUGCGGGUUGGUGCUCCCAUCUCCUGCGUGGUCCUGUCCAGCCCGGGAGGGUCAUUCCUGUGCCGGCCGAUCCCGUGUGUGGCCUCUAAGUCGCUUCUCCUGGGGGUGGCGUGGCCUUGAUGGCAGGAGCCCCGGUUCGCAGGGCCUGCUCAGCACGGAUGGCGGGGGCUCCGUUUCACUUCCUGUUUCGUCAGGCCGCAGCCCGCGGAGCACAGGGCAGAGCUGGCCCCCUCCUCCCCACGCGUCAGGGACGGCAGCCCGGGGUCCUCCCCCCUAGUCCACCCCGCUGGGGUGCGAACUCGGCCGGCUCCAGGGACGCCGAUUUGGGGGUAUUUGUCAAAAUCACAAGCGCACAUAUCCCUCGGGUCCACAUCUAGCAACUUAUCCUACAGACACGCUUGUGCGUAUAAAACAACAUACAGAAGGCUACUUCUCAUCUUGCCCUCUGUAACGGCAAAGACCAUAAACAGCCUAAAUGUCUGUCACUAAGGUACUGGGAAAGUAGGUCACCGUACAGCGUGGACACCGUUCUGUGAAAAAUUCAAGCAGGCUCCGAAUGUAUUGGUGUCGAAGAGAAUGAAAUCUAAAACAGGUGAAGAGAGUAAGCGGGGGAAAAAAGGAUUCACAGGACAGUGUAUGGAAUAGGCUGCUAUUGGGGCAAACGUGUGUCUUCACUUGUAUUCUGCAUGACUGUCUCCGAACGGACACCCAGGAUACUGUGCCGUCCGUUACCUUUGAGAGGAAGGUAACUCGGUGGGUUGGAAAUAGGGAAUGAAGGGAAACUUUUCAGUAACGCUACUUUGAAUUUUGAACUAUGUGGCUAUAUUCCCAUUUAAUCAAUCAAUAAGAGAAAAAAUCCUGGGGCGCCUAGGGGCUCAGUGAGUGCAACACUUGAUUCUUGAUCUUGGCUCAGGCCAUGAUCUCACGGGUUGUGAGCUGGGGCUCCGCGUUGGGCUCUGUGCUGACA